Heligmosomoides polygyrus is the source of this 71-nucleotide non-coding RNA. The record is from Rfam. NCBI's taxonomy places the organism in Eukaryota, Metazoa, Nematoda, Chromadorea, Rhabditida, Heligmosomidae.
GCGCCGGUGGUGUAAGGCGAACAUCGCUGCCCGGAAAGCAGAAGACGCGGGUUCGAGUCCCGCAUGGCGCA